Molecule: ribosomal RNA, 1489 nt
Filed under: uncultured compost bacterium
Lineage: Bacteria
Description: bacterial SSU rRNA
Rfam family: Bacterial small subunit ribosomal RNA
Source: RNAcentral
CGGAGAGUUUGAUCCUGGCUCAGGAUGAACGCUAGCGGCAGGCCUAACACAUGCAAGUCGAGGGGUAACAGGGAAGCUUGCUUCCGCUGACGACCGGCGAAUGGGUGAGUAACGCGUAUGCAACCUACCUUCUACAGGAGGAUAGCCCGGAGAAAUUCGGAUUAAUACUCCAUAAUAUCGUUUUAACAUAAGUUUUAGCGAAGAAAGCUUUUGCGGUAGAAGAUGGGCAUGCGUCCUAUUAGUUAGUUGGUAGGGUAACGGCUUACCAAGACAUCGAUAGGUAGGGGGCCUGAGAGGGUGAUCCCCCACACUGGUACUGAGACACGGACCAGACUCCUACGGGAGGCAGCAGUGAGGAAUAUUGGACAAUGGAGGCAACUCUGAUCCAGCCAUGCCGCGUGCAGGAAGAAUGCCUUAUGGGUUGUAAACUGCUUUUAUUUAGGAAGAAUCCCCAGUACGUGUACUGGGUUGACGGUACUAUUUGAAUAAGGACCGGCUAACUCCGUGCCAGCAGCCGCGGUAAUACGGAGGGUCCAAGCGUUAUCCGGAAUCAUUGGGUUUAAAGGGUCCGCAGGCGGGAUGAUAAGUCAGUGGUGAAAUUUCUUAGCUUAACUAAGACAUUGCCAUUGAAACUAUUGUUCUUGAAUUCGGUCGAAGUGGGCGGAAUAUGUCAUGUAGCGGUGAAAUGCAUAGAUAUGACGUGGAACUCCGAUAGCGAAGGCAGCUCACUAGGCCUGAAUUGACGCUCAGGGACGAAAGCGUGGGUAGCAAACAGGAUUAGAUACCCUGGUAGUCCACGCUGUAAACGAUGAUUACUCGAUAUCAGCGAUAUAUUGUUGGUGUCCAAGCGAAAGUGAUAAGUAAUCCACCUGGGGAGUACGAUCGCAAGGUUGAAACUCAAAGGAAUUGACGGGGGCCCGCACAAGCGGUGGAGCAUGUGGUUUAAUUCGAUGAUACGCGAGGAACCUUACCAGGGCUUAAAUGCAUAUUGACAGAUUCUGAAAGGGAUUUUUCUUCGGACAAUUUGCAAGGUGCUGCAUGGCUGUCGUCAGCUCGUGCCGUGAGGUGUUGGGUUAAGUCCCGCAACGAGCGUAACCCCUAUCUUUAGUUGCUAACAGGUUAAGCUGAGGACUCUAGAGAAACUGCCAGCGCAAGCUGAGAGGAAGGUGGGGACGACGUCAAGUCAUCACGGCCCUUACGUCCUGGGCUACACACGUGCUACAAUGGUCGGUACAGAGGGCAGCUACCACGCGAGUGGAUGCGAAUCUCGAAAGCCGAUCUCAGUUCGGAUUGGAGUCUGCAACUCGACUCUAUGAAGCUGGAAUCGCUAGUAAUCGCAGAUCAGCCAUGCUGCGGUGAAUACGUUCCCGGGCCUUGUACACACCGCCCGUCAAGCCAUGGAAGCGGGGGGUACCUGAAGUCGGUAACCGCAAGGAGCUGCCUAGGGUAAAACUCGUAACUGGGGCUAAGUCGUAACAAGGUAGCCGUA